RNAcentral lists this ribosomal RNA (491 nucleotides) under uncultured bacterium. Its description in RNAcentral is "partial 16S ribosomal RNA". It matches the Rfam family "Bacterial small subunit ribosomal RNA", at positions 29 to 506 of the family's 1533-position model. The record is from RNAcentral.
AGUGAACGCUGGCGGUAGGCCUAACACAUGCAAGUCGAACGGCAGCACAGUAAGAGCUUGCUCUUACGGGUGGCGAGUGGCGGACGGGUGAGGAAUACAUCGGAAUCUACUUUUUCGUGGGGGCUAACGUAGGGAAACUUACGCUAAUACCGCAUACGACCUACGGGUGAAAGCAGGGGAUCUUCGGACCUUGCGCGAUUGAAUGAGCCGAUGUCGGAUUAGCUAGUUGGCGGGGUAAAGGACCACCUAGGCGACGAUCCGUAGCUGGUCUGAGAGGAUGAUCAGUCGCACGGGAGAUGGGACGCGGAGCAGAACUCGAAGGGAGGCAGGAGUGGGGAACAUACGGGAAGGGGCGGAAGCCUGUACCAGACAUACCGCGUGGGUGAAGUAGGCCUUCGGGUUGUAAAGCCCUUUUGUUGGGAAAGAAAAGCAGCAGGUUAAUAGCGCGCUGUUCUGGCGGUACCGAAAGAAUAAGCACCGGCUAAUUUCGU